This 253-nucleotide ribosomal RNA is filed under the name uncultured bacterium. RNAcentral's name for it is "partial 16S ribosomal RNA". It matches the Rfam family "Bacterial small subunit ribosomal RNA", at positions 524 to 776 of the family's 1533-position model. The record is from RNAcentral.
UACGGAGGAUGCAAGCGUUAUCCGGAAUGAUUGGGCGUAAAGCGUCCGCAGGUGGCUAUGUAAGUCUGUUGUUAAAGAGUCUAGCUUAACUAGAUAAAGGCAAUGGAAACUAUAAGGCUAGAGUACGUUCGGGGCAGAGGGAAUUCCUGGUGUAGCGGUGAAAUGCGUAGAGAUCAGGAAGAACACCGGUGGCGAAAGCGCUCUGCUAGGCCGUAACUGACACUGAGGGACGAAAGCGUGGGGAUCAAACAGG